Molecule: ribosomal RNA, 607 nt
Filed under: Marmota monax (woodchuck)
Lineage: Eukaryota; Metazoa; Chordata; Mammalia; Rodentia; Sciuridae
Description: LSU_rRNA_bacteria
Rfam family: Eukaryotic large subunit ribosomal RNA
Source: RNAcentral
AUCAGCGGGGGAAGACGAUGCUGUAGAGCUUGUCUGGCUUGGUGGAGAGACAUAAGAGGUGCAGACUAAGUGGAAGACUCCCGGUGCAGCUCUGUCCCGAGAAGGGACCUGGCGACCCCGGCUCAUUUUUUUCACUGGCCCAGUGAAGGGGAGGUGGCGAGGAUGGGUGGCAAACCGCACCCCAGGGGGUGGUUUUCACUUCUGGUGCCAAGUGUCAGGCUGUAUGCUCAAGGGACAGUGCCAGGUGGGGAGUUUGACUGGGGCAGUAGGUACACCUGUCAAACCCUACUGCAGGUGUCCUCUGGAGAGCACAGGGAGGACACAAAUCUCUCGUGGAGCAGAAGGAAAAAAGCUCGCUUGAACUUGAUUUUCAAUACAGACAGUAAAAGUGGGGCCUCAGGAUCCUUCUGACCUUUUUGGGUUUUAAGCAGGAGGUGUCAGAAAAAUUACCAAGCGUUCAUAGCCAUGUGGCUUUCUGAUCCUUUGAUAUCGGCUCUUCCUAUCAUUGUGAAGCAGAAUUCAUCAAGGGUUGGAUUGUUCACCCACUACUAGGGAACAUGAGCUGGGUUUAGACCGUCGUGAGACAGGUUAGUUUUACCCUACUGAU